UGAUGAUGAUAAUGAUGAUGCUGAUGAGGAUGAUGAUAAUUCUAUGGGAGCUUCAUCAUCGUCUUUGUCGUCAUCAUAAUCGUAU
Molecule: microRNA precursor, 85 nt
Filed under: Bigelowiella natans CCMP2755
Lineage: Eukaryota; Cercozoa; Chlorarachniophyceae
Description: miRNA EPrBNAG00000013651
Source: RNAcentral